RNAcentral lists this ribosomal RNA (1050 nucleotides) under uncultured bacterium. Its description in RNAcentral is "bacterial SSU rRNA". It matches the Rfam family "Bacterial small subunit ribosomal RNA", at positions 335 to 1397 of the family's 1533-position model. The record is from RNAcentral.
ACUCCUACGGGAGGCAGCAGUAACGAAUCUUCCGCAAUGGACGAAAGUCUGACGGAGCAAUGCCGCGUGUGGGAUGAAGCGUCUAUGACGUGUAAACCACUGUCAGGGAAUAGAAACAAUGAUCGUUCCCAAAGGAAGUGGCGACUAACUCUGUGCCAGCAGUCGCGGUAAUACAGAGGCCACAAGCGUUAGUCGGAAUCACUGGGCUUAAAGGGUGCGUAGGCGGCCUGCCAAGUGUCUUGUGAAAUACCUUAGCUCAACUAAGGAACAGCAGGGCAUACUGGUAGGCUCGAGGCAGGUAAGGGUCGCUGGAACAGUAGGUGGAGCGGUGAAAUGCGUAGAUAUCUACUGGAACGCCGAUGGUGAAGACGAGCGACUAGGCCUGACCUGACGCUGAGGCACGAAAGCGUGGGGAGCAAACAGGAUUAGAUACCCUGGUAGUCCACGCCGUAAACGAUGUACACUAGACUGGUGCGGUUUUGACGCCGUAUCAGUCGUAGUAAAAACGAUAAGUGUACCGCCUGGGGAGUACGGUCGCAAGGCUAAAACUCAAAUGAAUUGACGGGGGCUCACACAAGCGGUGGAGCAUGUUGCUUAAUUCGAGGCAACGCGAAGAACCUUACCUGGGUUUGACAUGUAUGUAUUAACUCUGUGAAAGCAGAGCCACAGUCGCAAGACCGGAACAUGCACAGGUGCUGCAUGGCUGUCGUCAGCUCGUGCUGUGAAGUGUCAGGUUAAGUCCUUUAACGAGCGCAACCCCUAUCGUUAGUUGCUCGGCGCAAGCCAGUACUCUAGCGAGACUGCCGGUGUCAAACCGGAGGAAGGUGGGGAUGACGUCAAGUCCUCAUGGCCCUUACAUCCAGGGUUGCAAACGUGCUACAAUGGUGCAUACAGAGCGAUGCAAGAGCGCAAGCUGGAGCAAAUCGCAAAAAGUGCACCCCAGUUCGGAUUGUCGGCUGCAACUCGCCGGCAUGAAGUAGGAAUCGCUAGUAAUCGGGGAUCAGCUACGCCCCGGUGAAUGAGUUCCUGAGCCUUGUACACACCGCCCGU